This 425-nucleotide ribosomal RNA is filed under the name uncultured bacterium. RNAcentral describes it as "bacterial SSU rRNA". It matches the Rfam family "Bacterial small subunit ribosomal RNA", at positions 354 to 796 of the family's 1533-position model. The record is from RNAcentral.
GUGGGGAAUAUUGGACAAUGGGCGAAAGCCUGACGCAGCCAUGCCGCGUGAAUGAUGAAGGUCUUAGGAUUGUAAAAUUCUUUCACCGGGGACGAUAAUGACGGUACCCGGAGAAGAAGCCCCGGCUAACUUCGUGCCAGCAGCCGCGGUAAUACGAAGGGGGCUAGCGUUGCUCGGAAUUACUGGGCGUAAAGGGAGCGUAGGCGGAUAGUUUAGUCAGAGGUGAAAGCCCAGGGCUCAACCUUGGAAUUGCCUUUGAUACUGGCUAUCUUGAGUAUGGAAGAGGUAUGUGGAACUCCGAGUGUAGAGGUGAAAUUCGUAGAUAUUCGGAAGAACACCAGUGGCGAAGGCGACAUACUGGUCCAUUACUGACGCUGAGGCUCGAAAGCGUGGGGAGCAAACAGGAUUAGAAACCCCGGUAGUCC